RNAcentral lists this small nuclear RNA (108 nucleotides) under Chinchilla lanigera (long-tailed chinchilla). The record is from RNAcentral. Lineage: Eukaryota; Metazoa; Chordata; Mammalia; Rodentia; Chinchillidae.
GUGCUCGCUUUGGCAGCACCUGUACUAAAAUGGGAACGAUAUAGAGAAGAUUAGCACAGCCCCUUGUGGAAGGGUGACACGCAAGUUUGUGAAGUGCUCCAUGCUUCA